This 484-nucleotide ribosomal RNA is filed under the name uncultured bacterium. Its description in RNAcentral is "SSU rRNA". It matches the Rfam family "Bacterial small subunit ribosomal RNA", at positions 26 to 521 of the family's 1533-position model. The record is from RNAcentral.
AGGACGAACGCUGGCGGCGUGCUUAACACAUGCAAGUCGAACGAAGUCCAUCCGGUAGCAAUACCGGUGAAGGCUUAGUGGCGAACGGGUGAGUAACACGUGAGCAACCUGCCCCGAAGACCGGGAUAACAGCGGGAAACCGCUGCUAAUACCGGAUGUCCCCACCGGAUCGCAUGGUCUGGUGAGGAAAGCCUUUACGCUUCGGGAGGGACUCGCGGCCUAUCAGCUUGUUGGUGAGGUAACGGCCCACCAAGGCGACGACGGGUAGCUGGUCUGAGAGGACGAUCAGCCACACUGGGACUGAGACACGGCCCAGACUCCUACGGGAGGCAGCAGUGGGGAAUCUUGCGCAAUGGGCGAAAGCCUGACGCAGCAACGCCGCGUGCGGGAUGAAGGCCUUCGGGUUGUAACCGCUUUCAGCAGGGACGAUAAUGACGGUACCUGCAGAAGAAGCUCCGGCCAACUACGCGCCAGCAGCCGCGGU